UACAGAGGGUGCAAGCGUUAUCCGGAAUUACUGGGCGUAAAGCGUGCGUAGGCGGCUUUUUAAGUCGGCUGUGAAAUCCCCGAGCUUAACUGGGGAAUUGCAUUCGAUACGGGGAAGCUAGAGUAUGGGAGAGGAUGGUAGAAUUCCAGGUGUAGCGGUGAAAUGCGUAGAGAUCUGGAGGAAUACCGAUGGCGAAGGCAGCCAUCUGGCCUAAUACUGACGCUGAGGUACGAAAGCAUCGGGAGCAAACAGG
RNAcentral lists this unclassified non-coding RNA (253 nucleotides) under uncultured bacterium. Its description in RNAcentral is "contains 16S-23S intergenic spacer region". It matches the Rfam family "Bacterial small subunit ribosomal RNA", at positions 524 to 776 of the family's 1533-position model. The record is from RNAcentral.